Sorex fumeus (smoky shrew) is the source of this 104-nucleotide small nuclear RNA. The record is from RefSeq and is a predicted model, not a curated record. Lineage: Eukaryota; Metazoa; Chordata; Mammalia; Eulipotyphla; Soricidae.
GUUUACUUCAUCCACACAUGUGGUAAAAUUGGAACAAAACAGAAAAGAUCAGUGUAACCUGUGUGUGAGAAUUAUCCCAAAUUUGAGAGGUAUUCCAUAUUUUC